ACAUGCCUACAACAUAGCUUUAAUGCAUCGGAUCUCAUUAGAACUUUGUAGCUAAGCAUGCUCAAGAUAGAGUAGUACUGGGAUGGGUGAUUGUCCAAGAAGUACUAUUUUUUUUCAUGCG
Molecule: non-coding RNA, 121 nt
Organism: Picea glauca (white spruce)
Lineage: Eukaryota; Viridiplantae; Streptophyta; Pinopsida; Pinales; Pinaceae
Source: Rfam